Molecule: ribosomal RNA, 476 nt
Filed under: uncultured bacterium
Lineage: Bacteria
Description: bacterial SSU rRNA
Rfam family: Bacterial small subunit ribosomal RNA
Source: RNAcentral
GACGAACGCUGGCGGCGUGCCUAACACAUGCAAGUCGAGCGGUUCUUAAGCUGUAGUUUACUAUAGCUUAAGAAUAGCGGCGAACGGGUGAGUAACACGUGGGCAACCUGUCCGAAAGAUCGGGAUAACAGUCCGAAAGGGCUGCUAAUACCGAAUACGCUUACCGGGUCGCAUGAUCCGGUAAGGAAAGGUCGGCAACUUCCGCUUUCGGGUGGGCCCCGCGUCCCAUUAGCUAGUUGGUAGGGUAACGGCCUACCAAGGCAACGAUGGGUAGCUGGUCUGAGAGGAUGGUCAGCCACACUGGGACUGAGACACGGCCCAGACUCCUACGGGAGGGCAGCAGUGGGGAAUCUUGCGCAAUGGGCGAAGCCUGACGCAGCGACGCCGCGUGAGCGAGGAAGGCCUUCGGGUCGUAAGCUCUGUCAGAGGGGACGAGUAAUGACGGUACCCUCAGAGGAAGCCCGGCUAACUACGUG